AGUCUUAUAUUCAAUGAUGAUUUUGAAUUGCAAAUUCAAAGGUGAAAAUUUUUCUAAGGCUU
Molecule: transfer RNA, 62 nt
Filed under: Sinodendron cylindricum
Lineage: Eukaryota; Metazoa; Arthropoda; Insecta; Coleoptera; Lucanidae
Description: tRNA-Cys
Source: RNAcentral